Molecule: ribosomal RNA, 343 nt
Filed under: uncultured bacterium
Lineage: Bacteria
Description: bacterial SSU rRNA
Rfam family: Bacterial small subunit ribosomal RNA
Source: RNAcentral
AGAGUUUGAUCCUGGCUCAGGAUGAACGCUAGCUACAGGCUUAACACAUGCAAGUCGAGGGGCAGCAUGACCUAGCAAUAGGUUGAUGGCGACCGGCGCACGGGUGAGUAACACGUAUCCAACCUACCGGUUAUUCCGGGAUAGCCUUUCGAAAGAGAGAUUAAUACCGGAUAGUAUAACGAGAAGGCAUCUUCUUGUUAUUAAAGAAUUUCGAUAACCGAUGGGGAUGCGUUCCAUUAGUUUGUGGCGGGUAACGGCCACCAAGACAUCGAUGGAUAGGGGUUCUGAGAGGAAGGUCCCCCACAUUGGAACUGAGACACGGUCCAAACUCCUACGGGAGCGA